AGGAGGAUUAGGUUUAGAUUAGAAAAGGGGUUGAGUUAUUUUUUUUCCCUGUGGUUUCUCUUAAGUGCCUUAGGGUUUUGUAAGAGGAAAGUGGGCUGACAGCCUGGACUCAGUUGCUCCAGAGAUAAAAGUGGUGAGCUCAGUGUUCUUUUCUGGACCAUCAGGAGGGUAUGUUCUUCUCCUGAACAUGGUUUUUCCCAUGAGACUCAUGAGUUCCUGGGAAUCUGCUGAAAGCUCUAAACCUUUUCUCUAGAAAACUGGGGGCAUCUGUGCACAAGCACGCACGGGCAGGUACACAAGGGCACGCCCACACCUGCUUGCGCGUGCGCAUACAUCUGAUUUGACUUACUCGCAGGCGUUCCUGAAAUUCACCAGCCAGAAAAUUUUCAAGAGCCUACACAACUCACUUUUCAGAGAGACCUCACCCUUCCCAGAGAUUCCCUGGAAGACUGUCCUUCCACCCCAGUGUCUGCCAGCUCCGGCUUUGCUUCUGGGGCAAUUGUGGCUGGCUCUGCCCUCCAGGGAAAGAAACUGAUGACUGCAUUUUUCCUCCUUGUUCUUCUUCUCUGUGGUGUCCUCCCUACCAUCAUCGUUUAUUUAAAGGGUGAGCCUAACGUGUUUUUUUCUCAAACAGAUGGAUGUUCCCACUUAAAAUUAAACACGGGAGUGCCUAGGCUGCUGUUUACUUGUGUAACAAUGACCAAGUCUCUCAACCUCUCUGAGCCCUAGUUUUCUCCUGAGAUUAAAACAGUAUCUGCAGUAUGGGGUGGUCAGGAAAAAUCAACACUGGGCAAGUUGUUAGCAGUUCUCUUAUUCUAUAAGUGUAUAUUGGGGAAUGGUUUACCAUUUUAUUAUAAGCACAUUCUUAUUCUCCAACGGAACAUGAUUUUCUCUCUAGAAACAUCUCUAGAACCUUAAAUAGAAGCAAAAAGCUUUCUCCAACUUGGCAUAGGGAAUUUCUAUUUGCCACCUCUAGGGUGAGCAGCUACUCAGGUGGUGUCAAUUUUAGGGACUGUUGAAAAUUCUAAGGGCUUCCCUGAUAGGUCAGUUGGCAAAGAAUCUGCCUGCAAUGCAGGAGACCCUGAACCCAAUAGUACUCUUAGCAUGAAGGUAAGGGAACUUGGUGGUCCAAUCUAGUCUAUUGUGUAAUAAGCAUAUUUUAAAACAUUCAAAUUCUGUUUUUAAUUAUUAUACCACUAUAUAUAUACACACACACACACACACACCAUUAUAUAUGGUGAAGACCAAACUGGUUUCUACAAUAAUUAACAUUCAUUUGCACACUUUCCAUGUCCUGGUAAAUGUCUUAAGCAUUUUACCUAGUUUAAUCCUUUCAGUAACAGUCCAAAAAGGUCCUAUUAUUAUCAUUUUAUAAAUGGAAACAGAGACUCAGAGAGGUUAAGUAAGUGGUCCAGGGUCACAGAGCUUGUACGUAUCAGAGCUGCUGGUAAAUCUUCAGCCUCCUUCUGCUUUGAUCUCUCCAAAUUUUUAUGAGAAUGUGUUGCUUCUCUUUAUACUCGCUAAAAUAAUAAUUUUCAGUUGAGAAGUUCAUUCUUGCUAGCUUUGAUCGGCCUGAGAGUCCCCUCCUAGCAAGAAUCUCAGAUGGCUUAACACUGUCCAGAGCUUCAGAUUUAUUUAAUGCAGCCUUCACAUUGUUUGUAAAGCUGCUGGAUAAUUUAUUUUUUAACCUCCAUGCUGAAGAAAAUUAUGUAAGUGCUCACAUGCUUCAGUGCUCAUCAGUGAGGGAGGAAGAAGUAAUAGUGUCUGUUUACAUCAUACAGAAUGUUUGCUACUAAACAUAAGAAAUCGUGAAACCCAAACACAGACUCACAUGGUGGAGCUUAUGUUGGGUUGGCCAAAAGUUUGUUCAGAUUUUUGCAUACGAGCUUACAGAAAAACCUAAAUGAACUUUUUGGCCAACCCCAGAAAGUACGCCAUGCUCUCCAGCUUAUCCUCUCAUUUUUAUUGAUCAUGAGCAAGUUUUGGAUAUGAACUAAACUUCUUUAUGUGAUUUUUUUCCUGAUUAUAAAAGUGAUGUAACCUCAAUAAAAAGUAGGGGAAACCAAAACA
Molecule: long non-coding RNA, 2070 nt
Organism: Bos indicus x Bos taurus (hybrid cattle)
Lineage: Eukaryota; Metazoa; Chordata; Mammalia; Artiodactyla; Bovidae
Source: Ensembl